Long non-coding RNA from Takifugu rubripes (torafugu), 1925 nucleotides. The record is from Ensembl. NCBI's taxonomy places the organism in Eukaryota, Metazoa, Chordata, Actinopteri, Tetraodontiformes, Tetraodontidae.
GAACAGAAGUACAGCCCAUGCCUUGUGGACCAAAACCAACUCUCCACCAGACCUUCAUUGAAGCCAGUCUUGAGGACGCCUCCUAGCAUUGUGGAGAGGAACUGCAGUCCAUGCUGAGGGAACAUGAGGAUGGCAUAGGAGGAGUCAUUUGUGGAUGCCACCACCAACUGGAAGGUGUUCCUCUGAAGGUGAAGCAGAAAGAGUCAAACAUUCCAGAAGUUGAAAAUAAUAGUUUCAGAAAAGUGCAGAAAGAGAAGAGAUCUUUACGUCAGUGUCCAGCUCAUCGCCUCACCCACUGCUCUCUGCAGCAGCUAUAUUAUCCCAGGACCUCCGGACUGCUGUCCUGCCUGAUGUAGACUGACCCCCGGCCAUCGCUGUUGUCCAGGUCUCCCAGCAAGACAGCAGUUGAAAGUGGCCGGCAUUUUCCUGAGGUACUCGUGCUCCGGUGGUGGCUCUGUAAACGCCACAAAUCCGUUGGUGUUGAUCUGGAACAGAACAGAAAAACAGAAUCUGAGAAUAUUCCUCAGAGGAACGUUCCUACUUUCAAAUUAGUUAAAUCAAAUAAACUUUUGAGAAUGUUUGUCAUGACGACGGCAGUAAUGGACAACAGGAAGUGCUGAUAGCAUUGUGUUUUGGCGGCAGAGUGACAAGAACACCUGAGUGUGUAUAGGUGAUAUUUAACAUCAACAGGCUGUUGUCAACAUACAUAAUCACAUGUGUAACAGUGCCGUCAUGAUAUCACACGUCUGGCCUCGGAGAUCACUGUGAUAACUGCACGCCAAGUGCCGCCGUCUGCUUCAGAGGUGCACAUUUCCAACAAAAAAUUCCUCAACUAUCAAAUUAUGAAAUUCAAUCUGUUAUAUUGUCACCACAAUCCAAAAGAUUAACAAUAUUGAUCUGCUCAUUGAUCCAGGUGAUCAGUCUGACCAUUGACCCCACAAGUAGACUGACAGAAGACAACUGAAACAGAACAGGUCCUAAUCUGCAGUGUUCCUCAAUCCAGAUUAAUGGUCACAUGACCUGAGUGUGUCUGUGUGCGUGUUCUGUCCAUAUGUCCCACAGAUGUCAGCAUGUGAUUGACAGAAUAUAAUGGACAGAUUGAUAGUGAUCCCCAGUGAUCAGUUGCCUCUGAUGGAGUGUAAAUCAAUAGAUUUUGUUCACACUGACAGAUUGUCUGUGAUUAUCUGUCUCCAAACAAAUGCUGAUAAGAAACUUCACUCAAAUUAGUCAGUUUGUACUUGUCUGUGUAAAUUCUCAAUCAGCCAGGUCAUAGUUAUCAAAGGUAGUUUUCCGUGUCAACUGGACUAUUUUUCUUCUCUUUUGAAGAUGUUUUGCCUUCUACUCAGAAGGCUUCUUCAGUUCCGAAGGCGAAACGUCUUCAAAAGAGAAGAAAAACAGUCCAGUUGACACAGAAAACUAUACCUUGGAUCAGUUUGUACUUCAAGAAAUAAUGACUGAAAAAAACAAAUAAAUCGUAUUACCUUAAGAACAAAGAAAAUCUCAAAAAUGCUGUUAUAAAUUAAUGAAUUCUGUUUUACUUUAAUACUGAAUAAGAGAAAAUCAGAAAUGAAAGUUUUCUGACUAAAAAAUUAAAAAAAUCAAUUAAAAAAUGUACAUUUACAAGAAUAUCCCUCAUAUUAUUGAUGAAUUCAUCAUUUUGCAUUUUCUGAUGAUUGUGUUUCGUGAAGUUUUAAAAGUUAUUUGCUUUAGUUCUGAUGUUAAUCUCAAAGAUGAACAAAGCUGAUGAAUUCUUCACAUUUUACAAAAUGAUGGUUCUGUUCUUCCUCAAAAAGCCAUUAAAUAACUGAAAUGUCUGUAAAAGUUUCUGUGAAAAUGUUUAUUCACAUUUUAACUAAUGUAGAGUAUAAAACUCAUAAACUUUGUCAAAUUCUCCGCCAAAGAAAAACACGGAGGUCUAAAGGUGC